AGCGUAGGCGGUCGAUUAAGUUGGAUGUGAAAAGCCCGGGCUUAACUUGGGAGGUGCAUCUGAUACUGGUUGACUAGAGUUCAGGAGAGGGAAGCGGAAUUCCUAGUGUAGCGGUGAAAUGCGUAGAUAUUAGGAGGAACACCAGUGGCGAAGGCGGCUUUCUGGACUGACACUGACGCUGAGGCUCGAAAGCGUGGGGAGCAAACA
This 207-nucleotide ribosomal RNA is filed under the name uncultured bacterium. Its description in RNAcentral is "partial 16S ribosomal RNA". It matches the Rfam family "Bacterial small subunit ribosomal RNA", at positions 568 to 774 of the family's 1533-position model. The record is from RNAcentral.